UACGAAGGGGGCUAGCGUUGUUCGGAAUUACUGGGCGUAAAGCGCGCGCAGGCGGGUCAUCAAGUCAGGGGUGAAAGCCCAGAGCUCAACUCUGGAACUGCCCUUGAAACUGUGAGACUUGAGUAUGAGAGAGGUGAGUGGAAUUCCCAGUGUAGAGGUGAAAUGCGUAGAUAUUGGGAAGAACACCGGUGGCGAAGGCGACUCACUGGCUCAUUACUGACGCUCAGGCGCGACAGCGUGGGGAUCAAACAGG
Molecule: ribosomal RNA, 253 nt
Filed under: uncultured bacterium
Lineage: Bacteria
Description: partial 16S ribosomal RNA
Rfam family: Bacterial small subunit ribosomal RNA
Source: RNAcentral